Molecule: long non-coding RNA, 445 nt
Organism: Poecilia latipinna (sailfin molly)
Lineage: Eukaryota; Metazoa; Chordata; Actinopteri; Cyprinodontiformes; Poeciliidae
Exons: 3
Source: RefSeq, a predicted model, not a curated record
UUCAACCUAAUGGUAGACCUAUCAAAAUCGCCCUUUUCAAGACGCUUUUUCACGGAUAAAAAAGACACAAUUAAUAAUGGAAAACCCGCACCAAACCUGGGUUCACUAAAACAGACCAGUAAGAACUUUGUAAGGCUUUUAAAGACCGUAACUAUGAGCGCUACGAGCGGCUAACAGCUAGCACGGAGCACAACAAGCUAUUGAUUUUAUUUACAAGUAAUUGCCUGUCCAUGCCAAACUCCUCAGUGCCAGGAAUGCUUCACAUCUGCCUCGUCUGCCUCCGGAUCAUGGUGCGACUUUAAAGCUAACAGGUCGACCUUUUAUUUGAAAUUCGUCAAACCUUGUUUCAAAUAGUUUGCUACUUAUAAAACAACAUGCAGCAGCCAUUUUAUUCUAUUUCGGUUGCUAUAACUUGUCGAGAUUAACUUUGCUUAUGUACACAUGC